CUCUCGUAAGAACAAAUAUCAAUUUCGUAAAUGCAUAUCAGAUGCAUUUCGUAAAUGUAUAUCAUUCUGCUUAAGGCCAGAGAAAAUUACGAUGAUUUAGUUAAAUUCUAAAAAGGGCUCCUUAAAUCUAUUUUUCUACUGUUUCUAUUAAUCUACCUCUUUCUACAACAGCGAAAAAUCUAAACUUUUCAAUAAAGAAAAUUUUAUAUUCGAAAAAUAUGCUAUUAAAGGCACUUUAGGGGUAACAUUUCUUGUUCUGUCAUCUUUAAGUGGCUUAGAAAUUAAAUGUCAUUCCCUAGACGAAACAAAUAACAAAAUGAUGAUCUUCAUAUGAUAUAAACUCAAACUCACGAAGCCUGAAGCACUAGAUUAUUCACAGAAUACACUUCUCAACUCAUUCCGUAAAGCAACUGCAUAAAUAUUUUAUUUUUACAUGGAAUUCAUCGAUGAGUUAAGAGCAUAAAGGGAUUGAGAGUUGUGGAUGCAUAUGUUAUGCCUGAUAACCUUUCCUUCCGGAAACACCAAUAUUCUUAAAAUCAUUAUCGCAGAGAAAGCUUCAGAUAUAAUUGAAAGAGUUGCAAAAAGAAAACAUCAAUGUAGGAAGUCCAUUGUCAAUAAAAAUUAUUUUUAAUGA
Molecule: long non-coding RNA, 634 nt
Organism: Parasteatoda tepidariorum (common house spider)
Lineage: Eukaryota; Metazoa; Arthropoda; Arachnida; Araneae; Theridiidae
Source: RefSeq, a predicted model, not a curated record